This is a non-coding RNA of Triticum aestivum (bread wheat), 134 nucleotides long. NCBI's taxonomy places the organism in Eukaryota, Viridiplantae, Streptophyta, Magnoliopsida, Poales, Poaceae. The record is from Rfam.
CAUAUACUCCCUCCAUCCGAAAAUACCUGUCAUCAAAAUGGACAAAAAGGGAUGUAUCUAGAACUAAAUACAUCUAGAUACAUCCCAUUUUAUUUAUUUUGAUGACAAGUAUUUUCGUACGGAGGGAGUAGUAU